Molecule: ribosomal RNA, 94 nt
Filed under: Methylobacter sp.
Lineage: Bacteria; Pseudomonadati; Pseudomonadota; Gammaproteobacteria; Methylococcales; Methylococcaceae
Source: RNAcentral
AACCACCCGAUCCCAUCCCGAACUCGGAAGUGAAACCGUUUAGCGCCGAUGAUAGUGUGGCAGUUUGCCAUGCGAAAGUAGGGAAUUGCCAAGC